ACGAGCGGCGGACGGCAGAGUAACACGUAGGAACGUACCCCAAACAGAGGGAUAAGCACCGGAAACGGUGUCUAAUACCGCAUAAUAUCUUCGGAUUAAAGCUUCGGCGGUUUGGGAGCGGCCUGCGCAUGAUUAGCUAGUUGGUAAGGUAACGGCUUACCAAGGCGACGAUCAUUAGCUGGUCUGAGAGGAUGAUCAGCCUGACUGGAACUGAGAACGGUCCAG
RNAcentral lists this ribosomal RNA (225 nucleotides) under uncultured bacterium. RNAcentral describes it as "partial 16S ribosomal RNA". It matches the Rfam family "Bacterial small subunit ribosomal RNA", at positions 91 to 334 of the family's 1533-position model. The record is from RNAcentral.